Molecule: ribosomal RNA, 497 nt
Filed under: uncultured bacterium
Lineage: Bacteria
Description: partial 16S ribosomal RNA
Rfam family: Bacterial small subunit ribosomal RNA
Source: RNAcentral
GAUGAACGCUGGCGGCGUGCCUAAUACAUGCAAGUCGAGCGAACAGACGAGGAGCUUGCUCCUCUGACGUUAGCGGCGGACGGGUGAGUAACACGUGGAUAACCUACCUAUAAGACUGGGAUAACUUCGGGAAACCGGAGCUAAUACCGGAUAAUAUAUUGAACCGCAUGGUUCAAUAGUGAAAGACGGUUUUGCUGUCACUUAUAGAUGGAUCCGCGCCGCAUUAGCUAGUUGGUAAGGUAACGGCUUACCAAGGCAACGAUGCGUAGCCGACCUGAGAGGGUGAUCGGCCACACUGGAACUGAGACACGGUCCAGACUCCUACGGGAGGCAGCAGUAGGGAAUCUUCCGCAAAGGGCGAAAGCCUGACGGAGCAACGCCGCGUGAGUGAUGAAGGUCUUCGGAUCGUAAAACUCUGUUAUUAGGGAAGAACAAAUGUGUAAGUAACUAUGCACGUCUUGACGGUACCUAAUCAGAAGGCCACGGCUAACUAGGUG